UGGAUCCAGACUUUGAUUAUGGCUCAGGACGAACGCUGGCGGCGUGCUUAACACAUGCAAGUCGAACGAGAAGAGAUGAGAAGCUUGCUUCUUAUCGAUUCGAGUGGCAAACGGGUGAGUAACGCGUAAGCAACCUGCCCUCUAGAUGGGGACAACAGCUGGAAACGGCUGCUAAUACCGAAUGCGUUCUUUCUGUCGCAUGGCAGAGAGAAGAAGGGGAGGCUCUUCGGAGCUUUCGCUGGAGGAGGGGCUUGCGUCUGAUUAGCUAGUUGGAGGGGUAACGGCCCACCAAGGCGACGAUCAGUAGCCGGUCUGAGAGGAUGAACGGCCACAUUGGGACUGAGACACGGCCCAGACUCCUACGGGAGGCAGCAGUGGGGAAUCUUCCGCAAUGGACGAAAGUCUGACGGAGCAACGCCGCGUGAACGAUGACGGCCUUCGGGUUGUAAAGUUCUGUUAUACGGGACGAAUGGUACGACGGUCAAUACCCGUCGUAAGUGACGGUACCGUAAGAGAAAGCCACGGCUAACUACGUGCCAGCAGCCGCGGUAAUACGUAGGUGGCAAGCGUUGUCCGGAAUUAUUGGGCGUAAAGGGCGCGCAGGCGGCGUCGUAAGUCGGUCUUAAAAGUGCGGGGCUUAACCCCGUGAGGGGACCGAAACUGCGAUGCUAGAGUAUCGGAGAGGAAAGCGGAAUUCCUAGUGUAGCGGUGAAAUGCGUAGAUAUUAGGAGGAACACCAGUGGCGAAAGCGGCUUUCUGGACGACAACUGACGCUGAGGCGCGAAAGCCAGGGGAGCAAACGGGAUUAGUACCCCGGUAGUCCUGGCCGUAAACGAUGGAUACUAGGUGUAGGAGGUAUCGACCCCUUCUGUGCCGGAGUUAACGCAAUAAGUAUCCCGCCUGGGGAGUACGGCCGCAAGGCUGCAACUCAAAUGAAUUGACGGA
This 945-nucleotide ribosomal RNA is filed under the name uncultured bacterium. RNAcentral's name for it is "bacterial SSU rRNA". It matches the Rfam family "Bacterial small subunit ribosomal RNA", at positions 1 to 917 of the family's 1533-position model. The record is from RNAcentral.